Molecule: ribosomal RNA, 271 nt
Filed under: uncultured bacterium
Lineage: Bacteria
Description: partial 16S ribosomal RNA
Rfam family: Bacterial small subunit ribosomal RNA
Source: RNAcentral
CCUUUGCCGGCGACCGGCGCACGGGUGAGUAACACGUAUGCAACCUGCCCUCUUCAGGGGGACAACCUUCCGAAAGGGAGGCUAAUCCCGCGUAUAUCGGUUUCGGGCAUCCGAGAUCGAGGAAAGAUUCAUCGGAAGAGGAUGGGCAUGCGGCGCAUUAGCUAGACGGCGGGGUAACGGCCCACCGUGGCGACGAUGCGUAGGGGUUCUGAGAGGAAGGUCCCCCACACUGGUACUGAGACACGGUCCAAACUCCUACGGGAGGCAGCAG